AUGAACGCUGGCGGCGUGCCUAAUACAUGCAAGUCGAGCGAACAGACGAGGAGCUUGCUCCUCUGAAGUUAGCGGCGGACGGGUGAGUAACACGUGGAUAACCUACCUAUAAGACUGGGAUAACUUCGGGAAACCGGAGCUAAUACCGGAUAAUAUAUUGAACCGCAUGGUUCAAUAGUGAAAGACGGUUUUGCUGUCACUUAUAGAUGGAUCCGCGCCGCAUUAGCUAGUUGGUAAGGUAACGGCUUACCAAGGCAACGAUGCGUAGCCGACCUGAGAGGGUGAUCGGCCACACUGGAACUGAGACACGGUCCAGACUCCUACGGGAGGCAGCAGUAGGGAAUCUUCCGCAAUGGGCGAAAGCCUGACGGAGCAACGCCGCGUGAGUGAUGAAGGUCUUCGGAUCGUAAAACUCUGUUAUUAGGGAAGAACAAAUGUGUAAGUAACUAUGCACGUCUUGACGGUACCUAAUCAGAAAGCCACGGCUAACUACGUG
RNAcentral lists this ribosomal RNA (496 nucleotides) under uncultured bacterium. Its description in RNAcentral is "partial 16S ribosomal RNA". It matches the Rfam family "Bacterial small subunit ribosomal RNA", at positions 29 to 507 of the family's 1533-position model. The record is from RNAcentral.